Long non-coding RNA from Benincasa hispida (wax gourd), 1111 nucleotides. RefSeq lists it as uncharacterized. Lineage: Eukaryota; Viridiplantae; Streptophyta; Magnoliopsida; Cucurbitales; Cucurbitaceae. The record is from RefSeq and is a predicted model, not a curated record.
UCCGAUUACAAUCUUCAUUUCUUCUGUUUCUCUCGCCACAAUUUCCUCCCCAAAUCUUCGCUGAUAGUAGAAAUGAAGAGUCGAUUAUCUUCCAAACGAGACUGGACUAGCUCAUGGAUCCACACUCCUUUCCAGUAAGAAUUGAACCGGGAUUAAAAAUGCUAAUCAGUUACUCAAGUUGGUAAACUCAAUCCCAAGCCAAAGGCCAAAGAGCUUAGCUCAAUGGUAUUGGCAUGUAUUCCCUCUCUUGAGGAUGGAGCCUACAUCAUGUAUCUAACUAUGAGUUGAGAAGCAUUGAUUCUUGCUCACCUGUGAUGGAGUGACUCCGGCGGCGAUGUCCCAGUUGGAAUCAUACUCAGGCAUGAUGUAAACAGGUUCUGCGCCAGAAAAUACCAAAGCAGAUAUAGCUGAUGCAUGGGAGUUUCUAGGAAGAAUUAUAUGUUCGCCUGGAGAACAAGUUGCCAUAAUUGCAGCUUGAAUUCCACUUGUGGUUCCUUCAACGAGGAACCAAGUCUCUAAUGCUCCAAAAAGUUUAGCUGCUUGUUGCAGCGCUUCUAGUAUUGGGCCCUGGGGACGUAAAAGGUUGUCAAGCUCUGGAAGUGGAGGCAAGUCAUGGAUAAAGGGUUUUAGACCAAUGAGCUGAGUUAAUGAUGAUGGUGCUGCCCUCCCUUUAUUGUGUCCAGGAAAGUGAAAAUCAGCUGUAUUUUGUUCGGCAGAAGCUCGCUAAGCUCUAAUCAGAGGAGGGUCACUACCUUCCUGGGUUCUUAGAGAGUCUGACCCAUUGGGAUCUUUACUUGACUCAACGAUGCCCGUUUCCUGCAAGAAAAUUGAAAUACAUAAUUCUGCAUCUUGUGAUGUCAUUCAGUAUCGUAAUUUUGUAUCUCUUUGUUGCUCGUCAUGUUAAAAUUAGGUCCUUGUCCUUAACAUUUUAGAUAUAUGAAGUCACCUGUCAAGUAAAAUCCAUGUAUGAAGCAGACUACACCCUACACUUUUAUCUUGGUUUAUAAGUUGAUAGACUGAAGUUGCACAGGGAAAUCUAAAGAAUUCCCCACCACAGACAGCAGGGGCACAAUAACUGUGUGACCUGGAACAAGUUAUUAAAUUAUUUUCA